Molecule: ribosomal RNA, 253 nt
Filed under: uncultured bacterium
Lineage: Bacteria
Description: partial 16S ribosomal RNA
Rfam family: Bacterial small subunit ribosomal RNA
Source: RNAcentral
UACGUAGGGGGCAAGCGUUGUCCGGAUUCAUUGGGCGUAAAGAGCGUGUAGGCGGCCAGCUAGGUCAGCUGUGAAAACUCGGGGCUCAACCCCGAGACGUCGGUUGAAACCAUCUGGCUAGAGUCCGGAAGAGGAGUGUGGAAUUCCCGGUGUAGCGGUGAAAUGCGCAGAUAUCGGGAAGAACACCCGUGGCGAAGGCGGCACUCUGGGACGGUACUGACGCUGAGACGCGAAAGCGUGGGGAGCGAACAGG